UACAGAGGUCUCAAGCGUUGUUUCGGAUUCAUUGGGCGUAAAGGGUGCGUAGGCGGCUUGUUGCGUCGACCGUGAAAACCCGUGGCCUCAACUGCGGGCUUGCGGUCGAUACGGGCGGGCUAGAGUUCGGUAGGGGAGACUGGAAUUCCUGGAUGUAGCGGUGAAAUGGACGCAGACUAGUCAGGAGGAACACCGGUGGCGAAGGCGGGUCUCUGGGCCGAGUACUGACGCUGAGACGCGAAAGCGUGGGGAGCGAACAGG
RNAcentral lists this ribosomal RNA (261 nucleotides) under uncultured bacterium. RNAcentral describes it as "partial 16S ribosomal RNA". It matches the Rfam family "Bacterial small subunit ribosomal RNA", at positions 524 to 776 of the family's 1533-position model. The record is from RNAcentral.